CUAGCUAAUAGCCAGCAGGUAACAUUCAAACAUAUACUUCUAAUAUCAUGCUUUGAGAAUGGAGAUCGCCCUUGGCAUCUGGAUAUCUCAUAUAUAUGCAAACAUUUCCAGACUGAUAUUGCUCUUUCUAUAUUUUCCCGUUCUGAGUUUCCUCUGUGGAAAGAUAUUAAAAGACCUGAUUGUGCCACAUGUCAAGAGAUUAGAGAAUCAAGCAGUUAAAAUUCUGUUAAGCAGUUAAAGUUCUGUUAAUAAUGUUAGACAGUUAAGAAAGUUUGUUAGUAUUGAGGUGAGAAGCUUGUUCACAUCUAUAACUUGAUAUAAAAAGAUCUGUAACAGUGUAAAACAGAGUAAUGAAUUACAGUGAACACAUUCUUCUUCUUCCAUCACCUAUCAGACAUUCUCUCUGCUUAGUUUUCUAGUGUAUUCCUGUGAAAAUCUGCAUCUUAACACU
RNAcentral lists this long non-coding RNA (451 nucleotides) under Populus tremula. RNAcentral's name for it is "long non-coding RNA (PTRE_LNC002628)". The record is from RNAcentral. Lineage: Eukaryota; Viridiplantae; Streptophyta; Magnoliopsida; Malpighiales; Salicaceae.